UGAAGCCAUGGCUAGAGCUGGGCAAUGUGGAGAAAAUCAAAUAUCCCAAUAUUUGUGACCAAAUUCCUCAAUAUCAA
This is a long non-coding RNA of Etheostoma spectabile (orangethroat darter), 77 nucleotides long. RefSeq lists it as uncharacterized. The transcript is spliced from 3 exons. The record is from RefSeq and is a predicted model, not a curated record. Lineage: Eukaryota; Metazoa; Chordata; Actinopteri; Perciformes; Percidae.